GAUCUGGCUCAGGACGAACGCUGGCGGCGCGCCUAACACAUGCAAGUCGAACGAGAGAGAAGGAGCUUGCUUCUUCGAUCGAGUGGCGAACGGGUGAGUAACGCGUGAGGAACCUGCCUCAAAGAGGGGGACAACAGUUGGAAACGACUGCUAAUACCGCAUAAGCCCACGGGUCGGCAUCGAUCUGAGGGAAAAGGAGCAAUCCGCUUUGAGAUGGCCUCGCGUCCGAUUAG
Molecule: ribosomal RNA, 233 nt
Filed under: uncultured bacterium
Lineage: Bacteria
Description: partial 16S ribosomal RNA
Rfam family: Bacterial small subunit ribosomal RNA
Source: RNAcentral